This is a non-coding RNA of Elgaria multicarinata webbii, 3282 nucleotides long. NCBI's taxonomy places the organism in Eukaryota, Metazoa, Chordata, Lepidosauria, Squamata, Anguidae. The record is from the annotation of a RefSeq genome assembly.
CAGCAGCACGUGGGCAAGUGUGACGGGAAAUGAAAACAAAACUGAAAAAGCUGCGCCAAAAUGCCGAGCUAUCUGGGUCGUCUCCCGUGUUUGCUACUCUCCGUGCAGGGUACAUGGGCAGUUCUGAGGCUCACAGUGCCUUCAUCCCCAAUCCAGGCCAGGCCGGGCUCUGAUGUGCAAUUGCCUUGUUACAUCGCUGGGCCCAUAGUCAUUGACGACCUGGCUGUGAUAUGGAAGGUGGGCGAACGAACCGUUGCUAAAUACGAAUAUAGCUUUGAGGCCCAAAGGCCAGGGGCAUUGAUGACAGUUGGGCAGCUGCAAGCGGGCAACGCCACCCUCUUCCUCCCGAACGUACAGGACACAGAUGCUGGUGUUUACACUUGUUUCGUUAUCCUUAUGCCUGACAACGCAGACAAGACAGUGGAACUUAAAGUGGAAGCUCCUCCAAGCUUAACACUCAGUCCUACAAAACUCCUGUUAGCCAAGCCGGGUGCUGUGACAUGUAAAGUAUCAGAUUUUUACCCUGGCAACAUCACAGUGACAUGGUUUCGAGAUGGCAAGAUGGUGAAAGGCCCCGAAUCUCCCCAUGCCCUCUUCAGCCCUGGCAGCCUGUUCAGUGCAGAGAGUGUUCUGGAACUUACACCACAAAUCACUGAUGACGGUGCCAACAUCUCCUGCCGUGUCAGUCACAAAGCGAUCGAAGGCCUGCUUGAAGACAGCUUUGAGCUGCAGGUGCAAGGGCGCUCGGAGUUACUCCCCACUUGGGAUCGGGCUUGGCUGGGAGUUAUUGGAUUCUUUUUGGGCCUUUUCAUAGGAGCUGCUGUAGUAAAAAUCUACUACACAGUCAAGCAUAAAAGGCCUCCAGGAACAAAAUGUGAGGAACAUCCCCUUAACGAGGAUGGUGAGGAGAAGGCACAGAACAUGUCAAAGCCCAAGACGAAACAGACCGAUGGAACAGCAAGUGAGGAAUUUCCCCUUAAUGAGGGUAAUGAGGAGAAGGCACAAGACACGUCAAAGCCCAAGACGGAAGGGACAGAGGAUAGAGCAAGACAUUACCAAGACCGCUGUGAGGUUACUAAUGAAGAAUGGGGGCAGGAUAAGUCAAAGGACAAGCCAAACAAAUCUAACGACUCUUAUUCUCCAGGAACGAAAAGGGAGCAAGUCUCCGCUAAAAAGCAGUAUGAGGACCUGGCUAGGUCAAAGGCCGAGACAGAUCAUCCUUCUGUUUCAAAGCUAUAGUAGUUAGCUUUCAUAUUGCAUCAAAGCUCCGGAGAGCUUUGGCUGCCUCUCUUCCGCCUUGGAGGUAGAAAUCUGAGGCAUCCUAGGUUCCUCAGAUGCUCUGAAUGGGUUAGGGUUAGGGCUUAUCCUUUUUACCUUUUUAUAAUUUUAACUCUUGUUGUUCACCACUCUAGGAUCUGUUUAAAUGUGGAGUGGUAUGUAAAUGUUAUAAAUAAAUUAAAAACUAUCAACGUUUUUAUUACUUUAAAUUUUCAAACAUUACAUCAAAUAACAAGUCCUAAUUAUCAAAUAACUUUGAUACAGGACAUUAUUACAAAUGACUAUCUUAUACAAGUUUCUUUUCUGUUCAUUUCGGUACAUUAAAAUAAAUAAAUCACGCUGCUUUGCCGUGGCUAUCUGCAUUCGCUUUCUUUCAUGGAUGUCAUUGACGGCAUUUACACGGCCGGCUGCCUGGUUUGAAAUUGAGCACAUGGAGCAGGAAGACUUCAAUUGACUUUACUGAGACGCUGGGAGACGGUGCAAUUUCCCAGAUAUUCCCGUAUUGUCUCUGGGUUUUUUAAAUCUGCAAAAACCCCGGAUAUUUUGUAUACUUCUUAAUGUAUUACUUCUUAAUUUUGUAUUACUUCUUAAUUUCCCAGAUAUUCCCAUAUUGUCUCUGGGCUUUUUAAACCUGCAAACCCCCCGGAUAUUUUGUAUACUUCUUAAUGUAUUACUUCUUAAUUUUGUAUUACUUCUUAAUUUCCCAGAUAUUCCCAUAUUGUCUCUGGGUUUUUUAAACCUGCAAACCCCCCGGAUAUUUUGUAUACUUCUUAAUGUUUACUAUUUUUAAUUGUUGUAAACCACCCAGAGAGCUUCAGCUAUGGGGCGGUAUAUAAAUGUAAUAAAUAAAUAAAUUAUUCCAGUGGGGAUCCUGGGGUCCCCAUCCGGGGUCCUGGAUGCUGACAACGUUGUGAAAUGAACCCACAAACUUCUGCUAGUGGCCAAUUGUGAGUGUAGUAUAAAUUGCUCGUUUAAGCUCUUCAACUGUUUCUCAUCAUCUCUCCAUGCAGUUCAGGGAUCUGUCCACAAACUUGCAAAUGACCCUGGUGGUCUUUUUCCAUCGCUACCAUUCGUAUGAGGAAUGAAGGCUUGCCGAGUAAUGAAGAGUAUUAUUGAUUUUUAUUGCUGAGAACUUUUGUACAGGCUGUUCUAUUUCUAUUUGCUGUUUUAUUUAGUGUUUUAUUUGUGUAUGCUGGAAGGUGCUUACAUUUUUUUCUGUAUUCCUACCAUUUGGCUCUGUUUUAUAUUUGAUGCUGUAUAUUAAAUAUUAGCACACCAUUCUGAAAAUUUUGCAUAACUUUUAAGAGGGGAUAUACAGUAAACGGAGUUAGAGUGAGCCUUGGUCACAUACUUCUCCUGUAAAUGCAGUUCAUUUAGCUGUGGAUCAAGCAGUAAUCCGCUUCCUAAGUGGGGCACCCAUAUUUCCUAGUGGGCCUUCAAAGAAAAAGCUAAAAAACAACCAUUUCCUUACAACCAACAAAAAUGUCUAGAACUCUCUCACCGAUCUGCAGAUUUUGCUAGAUGAACUUUCCCUUUGUGUGUUAAGGGAAAGAUGGGUCAAAAGCACAAUUACAGUGAUCUCAUGAGAACAUCAGGUGUCUUACCUAUGUAGCCUGCUACUGUAUCUGGAGGCUCUUAACGAGCUGACAUUCCAGUCUCGCCAUCCAAUUAGUAAGUGCACCUGGGUGAAGGGGAUGCCAAAGAAAUGCCAAGUAAGGCCUUGUUUAUCACAACAAUGUAGACUAAUGCUAUAGAUUCUUAUGAUGAGAAGAUCUGCUUUGUUGUUCAGCUUAUGCAAUUAAUCACUUGCUUAACUUGGCAGCAAUGCCAAGUUCAGUUAUGCUAUAAUUGUUCUUGUGCCCAAGGGGUGGGGGUGGGGGUGGGGGGUCCAGAUUUUGCCAAAGGGUCUUUUGUACAGGAAGCUUUUGCAGUCUAGUCCACUUUUUUUGGAAUAUGCCUAAAGGUGCUGAAAUAUGCCAAUAAAUUAGCCUCCUUGUAAGCAAA